AACCAAAUUAAUUAACUAAACUUAUCUCAUAUUCUCAAGACAUAAGGGGAAGGAUAUACCAUACCGAAAUUUGUUUACCAUUGUGUUGGCUUUUAAUCCCAUACUACGUGCAUAUUAAUGUGGAAGUAUUCAACAAUUUACAUGCUCAGCAUAAAACAUUCUCCUAUGCAUCAUUAAUCAAAUUGUUGUGCUGACACUCAGCAGUGUCCGUACAUUAUGAACAGAAGAAGAGGAGAAAUAGUUUCAGAAUUGUGAAAGCUAAGGCCAUUCACAGUGUAAGCUAUGAAACCCAUAGCCUUAGCCUCAAAACUUGGUCCAAGUACACCCAUCCUAUAGUGCAAGCACCCAUAGUUAGAGUACCAAACCCACAGCCGGUGGACCCCACGAAAAGGAAUCAUCGCAUCGAGUACUACUUCAUCGCCUCCACUUUCCCGAACUGCACUCGCCUCCUCUCCUCGAGUACUACUCGCGCUGCCUCUCCUCCUUCUCCUCCCUCGCAGCGACGCCGAUGGGAAGCGGUGGCGGGAGACGUCGCCGGCGGCGGCGGCGGGAGUCGUCCCCAGCAGUGGCUGGCGCGGCGGCGUCGGCGGGAGGCGUCCCCGGCAGCAGUGGCUGGCUGACGAGACAGGCAUGGAUUUGAUUGGGGAAAUCUUGGGAUAUCGGUGGAGCGGACGAAUCGGUGGCGGGAGGAGGAGAUUAGCUGCGGUGGGAGAGGAUUUUUUAGGGUGAAUCGGGGAUUUCGCGAUGGGGAUUCGACGUGAGGGUACGACGCGUCUGGGUCACGUGCUCCAUAGCGCACGGAACUUGCUGCACGUGGACUCGCUGCGAGAAAGUUCCUCGCGUCCUUGUUUGGGACCAAGGGGCUCUGCUAGGGCGCGCGACCAUGCUCCACGCAAGCACAAAUCCUCGCUGGUGCGGUGUAGCCCUGGUCCACGUCACUACACUCUGAGAGGCCUAACUAGCUAGCUAUUUCAGCAUUGCUGCUUUUCCCGCGUGAUUGCAACUUUCGUUUGAUUGCGUUGCGAACCACUUGAUAUAUACUAGUAUCAAAUUAAGGCCAUAAUUAAAAAGAAAAAAGCAGAUCAUAAAGAAAUCUUGAACUACGUAAGCACUGUACCUGAAGAAGUUGUCCACAACUUGUAUCUAUGCAUGUCGAAAUCAAAACUGUUUGAGCU
Molecule: non-coding RNA, 1175 nt
Organism: Oryza sativa Japonica Group (Japanese rice)
Lineage: Eukaryota; Viridiplantae; Streptophyta; Magnoliopsida; Poales; Poaceae
Source: RefSeq, a predicted model, not a curated record